GGAGGGUGCGAGCGUUAAUCGGAAUUACUGGGCGUAAAGGGUGCGUAGGUGGUGCAGUAAGUUAUCUGUGAAAUUCCUGGGCUUAACCUGGGGUGGUCAGAUAAAACUGCUGCACUCGAGUAUAGGAGAGGGUAGUGGAAUUUCCGGUGUAGCGGUGAAAUGCGUAGAGAUCGGAAGGAACACCAGUGGCGAAGGCGGCUACCUGGCCUGAUACUGACACUGAGGCACGAAAGCGUGGGGAGCAAACAGGAUUAGAUACCCUGGUAGUCCACGCUGUAAACGAUGUCAACUAGCUGUUGGAUAUAUGAAUAUAUUUAGUGGCGCAGCAAACGCGAUAAGUUGACCGCCUGGGGAGUACGGUCGCAAGAUUA
RNAcentral lists this ribosomal RNA (371 nucleotides) under uncultured bacterium. RNAcentral describes it as "bacterial SSU rRNA". It matches the Rfam family "Bacterial small subunit ribosomal RNA", at positions 527 to 896 of the family's 1533-position model. The record is from RNAcentral.